CUGGAGGUAUCAGAAGUGCGAAUGCUGACAUAAGUAACGAUAAAGCGGGUGAAAAGCCCGCUCGCCGGAAGACCAAGGGUUCCUGUCCAACGUUAAUCGGGGCAGGGUGAGUCGACCCCUAAGGCGAGGCCGAAAGGCGUAGUCGAUGGGAAACAGGUUAAUAUUCCUGUACUUGGUGUUACUGCGAAGGGGGGACGGAGAAGGCUAUGUUGGCCGGGCGACGGUUGUCCCGGUUUAAGCGUGUAGGCUGGUUUUCCAGGCAA
This 263-nucleotide ribosomal RNA is filed under the name Escherichia coli. Its description in RNAcentral is "partial 23S ribosomal RNA". It matches the Rfam family "Bacterial large subunit ribosomal RNA", at positions 1273 to 1539 of the family's 2925-position model. Lineage: Bacteria; Pseudomonadati; Pseudomonadota; Gammaproteobacteria; Enterobacterales; Enterobacteriaceae. The record is from RNAcentral.